UCUGAGUCAUGCUGCCAGGGAGGGCAUCCA
RNAcentral lists this non-coding RNA (30 nucleotides) under Homo sapiens (human). Lineage: Eukaryota; Metazoa; Chordata; Mammalia; Primates; Hominidae. The record is from RNAcentral.